Molecule: long non-coding RNA, 329 nt
Filed under: Cyanistes caeruleus (blue tit)
Lineage: Eukaryota; Metazoa; Chordata; Aves; Passeriformes; Paridae
Description: lncRNA (ENSCCEG00000012912.1)
Source: RNAcentral
GCCAGCGCGGUUACCAUGGCAACGGCGUGGCCAGCUGUGUUUCUCCGACUGCGGCCACGGAUUCUGCUCGGGACCCCCCAACUUCACCUGCGUUUGUCACCUGGGCUGGACCAACCCCAAACCCCAAAAUUCCUCCUCGGGGGGGUCCCAGGAGCCCCCCCAGUGCUCGGUGGAUUGCGGCUGCAACUUCCACAGCUCCUGCGAGCGCGGCGGCCCCGGGUUCUGCGACCGCUGCCAGAACUGGACGGAGGGCCCGCAGUGCCAGCGCUGCCGCCCCGGCAGAGGCUCCCAAACCCCAUUUUAACCCAUUUUAACCCAUUUUAAUCCCA